This 507-nucleotide ribosomal RNA is filed under the name uncultured bacterium. RNAcentral describes it as "bacterial SSU rRNA". It matches the Rfam family "Bacterial small subunit ribosomal RNA", at positions 501 to 1010 of the family's 1533-position model. The record is from RNAcentral.
CUACGUGCCAGCAGCCGCGGUAAUACGGAAGGUCCAGGCGUUAUCCGGAUUUAUUGGGUUUAAAGGGAGCGUAGGCGGAUUAUUAAGUCAGUGGUGAAAGACGGUGGCUCAACCAUCGUUAGCCAUUGAAACUGGUAGUCUUGAGUGCAGACAGGGAUGCUGGAACUCGUGGUGUAGCGGUGAAAUGCUUAGAUAUCACGAUGAACUCCGAUCGCGAAGGCAGGUGUCCGGGCUGCAACUGACGCUGAGGCUCGAAAGUGUGGGUAUCAAACAGGAUUAGAUACCCUGGUAGUCCACACAGUAAACGAUGUAUACUCGCGGUUUGCGAUAUAAUGUAAGCCGCCAAGCGAAAGCAUUAAGUAUACCACCUGGGGAGUACGCCGGCAACGGUGAAACUCAAAGGAAUUGACGGGGGCCCGCACAAGCGGAGGAACAUGUGGUUUAAUUCGAUGAUACGCGAGGAACCUUACCCGGGCUUGAACUGCAGCUGAACGAUUCAGAGAUGAU